CAGUCGCCGCGGUAAUACGAAGGGUGCAAGCGUUAAUCGGAAUUACUGGGCGUAAAGCGUGCGUAGGCGGUUUGUUAAGUCUGCUGUGAAAUCCCCGGGCCCAACCUGGGAAUGGCAGUGGAUACUGGCAAGCUAGAGUGUGUCAGAGGAUGGUGGAAUUCCCGGUGUAGCGGUGAAAUGCGUAGAGAUCGGGAGGAACAUCAGUGGCGAAGGCGGCCAUCUGGGACAACACUGACGCUGAGGCACGAAAGCGUGGGGAGCAAACAGGAUUAGAUACCCCCGUAGUCCCUGUCUCUUAUAC
This 301-nucleotide ribosomal RNA is filed under the name uncultured bacterium. RNAcentral's name for it is "partial 16S ribosomal RNA". It matches the Rfam family "Bacterial small subunit ribosomal RNA", at positions 509 to 807 of the family's 1533-position model. The record is from RNAcentral.